GGACGAACGCUGGCGGCGUGCCUAAUACAUGCAAGUCGAGCGAAUGGAUGGGAGCUUGCUCCCUGAAGUUAGCGGCGGACGGGUGAGUAACACGUGGGCAACCUGCCUGUAAGACUGGGAUAACUCGCGGAAACGUGAGCUAAUACCGGAUAAUUUCUUUCUUCACAUGGAGAARGGUUGAAAGACGGUUAUGCUGUCACUUACAGAUGGGCCCGCGGCGCAUUAGCUAGUUGGUGAGGUAACGGCUCACCAAGGCGACGAUGCGUAGCCGACCUGAGAGGGUGAUCGGCCACACUGGGACUGAGACACGGCCCAGACUCCUACGGGAGGCAGCAGUAGGGAAUCUUCCGCAAUGGACGAAAGUCUGACGGAGCAACGCCGCGUGAGUGAAGAAGGUUUUCGGAUCGUAAAACUCUGUUAUCAGGGAAGAACAAGUACCGUUUAACUGACGGUACCUUGACGGUACCUGACCAGAAAGCCACGGCUAACUA
This 491-nucleotide ribosomal RNA is filed under the name Bacillaceae bacterium 'ARUP UnID 140'. RNAcentral describes it as "bacterial SSU rRNA". It matches the Rfam family "Bacterial small subunit ribosomal RNA", at positions 27 to 503 of the family's 1533-position model. Lineage: Bacteria; Bacillati; Bacillota; Bacilli; Caryophanales; Bacillaceae. The record is from RNAcentral.